This 497-nucleotide ribosomal RNA is filed under the name uncultured bacterium. RNAcentral describes it as "partial 16S ribosomal RNA". It matches the Rfam family "Bacterial small subunit ribosomal RNA", at positions 28 to 507 of the family's 1533-position model. The record is from RNAcentral.
GACGAACGCUGGCGGCGUGCCUAAUACAUGCAAGUCGAGCGAACGGACGAGAAGCUUGCUUCUCUGAUGUUAGCGGCGGACGGGUGAGUAACACGUGGAUAACCUACCUAUAAGACUGGGAUAACUUCGGGAAACCGGAGCUAAUACCGGAUAAUAUUUUGAACCGCAUGGUUCAAAAGUGAAAGACGGUCUUGCUGUCACUUAUAGAUGGAUCCGCGCUGCAUUAGCUAGUUGGUAAGGUAACGGCUUACCAAGGCAACGAUGCAUAGCCGACCUGAGAGGGUGAUCGGCCACACUGGAACUGAGACACGGUCCAGACUCCUACGGGAGGCAGCAGUAGGGAAUCUUCCGCAAUGGGCGAAAACCUGACGGAGCAACGCCGCGUGAGUGAUGAAGGUCUUCGGAUCGUAAAACUCUGUUAUUAGGGAAGAACAUAUGUGUAAGUAACUGUGCACAUCUUGACGGUACCUAAUCAGAAAGCCACGGCUAACUACGUG